UUUAAAGUCUAACCUGCCCCAUGAGGAUUUAAAUGGCCGCGGUAUAUUGACCGUGCAAAGGUAGCAUAAUAAUUUGUUUUUUAAUUGGAAGCUAGAAUGAAUGGUUGGACGAGAAAUUUACUGUCUCUGGUUUAUUUUAUUAGAAUUUUAUUUUUAAGUAAAAAAGCUUAAAUUUUUUUAAAAGACGAGAAGACCCUAUAGAGUUUUAUAAUUUAUUUUAUUAAUUUUUUUGGUAUUAUUGAUUUUUUAUGAUUUUAUUUAUUUUGUUGGGGUGAUGGGAAAAUUUGAUUAACUUUUUUUUUUGCUUUCAUUUAUUUAUGAUUUUUUGAUCCGUUGUUUACGAUUAUAAGAUUAAAUUACCUUAGGGAUAACAGCGUAAUUUUUCUUUAGAGUUCUUAUUGAAAGAAAAGUUUGCGACCUCGAUGUUGGAUUAAAAUUAAUUUUUGGCGUAGAAGCUUUUAAAUUGGGUCUGUUCGACCUUUGAAAUUUUACA
RNAcentral lists this ribosomal RNA (493 nucleotides) under Idaecamenta sp. DA0401. Its description in RNAcentral is "partial 16S large subunit ribosomal RNA". It matches the Rfam family "Bacterial large subunit ribosomal RNA", at positions 1844 to 2600 of the family's 2925-position model. The record is from RNAcentral. Lineage: Eukaryota; Metazoa; Arthropoda; Insecta; Coleoptera; Scarabaeidae.